AACUAUAGUAACGCCACAAGCGUACUAUGUUUGAUCUUUACGAUCAGCUUUUGGUAUGGUGCUUCGUCAAAUACAAAACUUAGAUUUGAUGUAUUGCAGAGUAUUGAAAUAUAGAAACGCAUUGUCAAU
RNAcentral lists this non-coding RNA (129 nucleotides) under unclassified sequences. Its description in RNAcentral is "Bacteriophage Diversity-Generating Retroelement RNA". It matches the Rfam family "Bacteriophage Diversity-Generating Retroelement RNA". The record is from Rfam by way of RNAcentral.